Molecule: ribosomal RNA, 207 nt
Filed under: Listeria monocytogenes
Lineage: Bacteria; Bacillati; Bacillota; Bacilli; Caryophanales; Listeriaceae
Description: partial 16S ribosomal RNA
Rfam family: Bacterial small subunit ribosomal RNA
Source: RNAcentral
UUUAAAGAGAGUUUGAUCCUGGCUCAGGACGAACGCUGGCGGCGUGCCUAAUACAUGCAAGUCGAACGAACGGAGGAAGAGCUUGCUCUUCCAAAGUUAGUGGCGGACGGGUGAGUAACACGUGGGCAACCUGCCUGUAAGUUGGGGAUAACUCCGGGAAACCGGGGCUAAUACCGAAUGAUAAAGUGUGGCGCAUGCCACGCUUUU